ACAGCAGCCGCCACGGGAAUACGUAGGGUGCAAGCGUUAAUCGGAAUUACUGGGCGUAAAGCGUGCGCAGGCGGUUAUAUAAGACAGAUGUGAAAUCCCCGGGCUCAACCUGGGAACUGCAUUUGUGACUGUAUAGCUAGAGUACGGCAGAGGGGGAUGGAAUUCCGCGUGUAGCAGUGAAAUGCGUAGAUAUGCGGAGGAACACCGAUGGCGAAGGCAAUCCCCUGGGCCUGUACUGACGCUCAUGCACGAAAGCGUGGGGAGCAAACAGGAUUAGAUACCCGUGUAGUCCCUGUCUCUUAUAC
RNAcentral lists this ribosomal RNA (305 nucleotides) under uncultured bacterium. RNAcentral describes it as "partial 16S ribosomal RNA". It matches the Rfam family "Bacterial small subunit ribosomal RNA", at positions 508 to 807 of the family's 1533-position model. The record is from RNAcentral.